This 468-nucleotide ribosomal RNA is filed under the name uncultured bacterium. RNAcentral describes it as "partial 16S ribosomal RNA". It matches the Rfam family "Bacterial small subunit ribosomal RNA", at positions 28 to 507 of the family's 1533-position model. The record is from RNAcentral.
GACGAACGCUGGCGGCGUGCUUAACACAUGCAAGUCGAACGGAAAGGCCCUGCUUUUGUGGGGUGCUCGAGUGGCGAACGGGUGAGUAACACGUGAGUAACCUGCCCUUGACUUUGGGAUAACUUCAGGAAACUGGGGCUAAUACCGGAUAGGAGCUCCUGCUGCAUGGUGGGGGUUGGACCGUUUCGGCGGUUGGGGAUGGCCUCGCGGCUUAUCAGCUUGUUGGUGGGGUAGUGGCUUACCAAGGCUUUGACGGGUAGCCGGCCUGAGAGGGUGACCGGCCACAUUGGGACUGAGAUACGGCCCAGACUCCUACGGGAGGCAGCAGUGGGGAAUAUUGCACAAUGGGCGGAAGCCUGAUGCAGCAACGCCGCGUGCGGGAUGACGGCCUUCGGGUUGUAAACCGCUUUCGCCUGUGACGAAGCGUGAGUGACGGUAAUGGGUAAAGAAGCACCGGCUAACUACGUG